Molecule: long non-coding RNA, 505 nt
Organism: Pelmatolapia mariae (spotted tilapia)
Lineage: Eukaryota; Metazoa; Chordata; Actinopteri; Cichliformes; Cichlidae
Exons: 5
Source: RefSeq, a predicted model, not a curated record
UUAGCUUGUCAUUGCUUCAUUUCUAAUUGCUGCUUUCAUCCUUCAAACCUAAACUCAGAUCACGGCAGGCUAAGACCACUCCAGGUCACGUGGAGUGAUACGAGCUGCAGCAGUGCUAUCACAGUCAGCUGGGAUAACAUUGCUGGGGGAUAAGGACCAGCAAUCCCCCCCACCAACACUGAUUCUAUUUGUUUACUGCAUAUCUACUGAUCUUUUCAUCUCCUAUUUCUGAUUUAAUUACCAUGCAACAUGUUUCACUUUCAGCCGUGCAGCUCGUAAAUUGUCCUCCUUGGAGAAACAUAUUAUAUUUUUUUAAGGAGUACCUAUGCUUGAAAAAUAUGCGGGAGCAGAAAAACAGGAAUAAAACAGGUCAGGAUGAAAAUGAAGAAGAACAGGAGGAGGAGGAGAAGGAGGAUGAUUUUGUCCGAUAGUAACCCCGGCAGUGGAGGAAGGGAGGUUUGUCCGAUAGUAACCCCGGCAGAGAGAACGAUGGAGAAAAGCAGAG